AUUGAACGCUGGCGGCAGGCCUAACACAUGCAAGUCGAGCGGUAGAGAGGUGCUUGCAUCUCUUGAGAGCGGCGGACGGGUGAGUAAUGCCUAGGAAUCUGCCUAGUGGUGGGGGAUAACGUUCGGAAACGGACGCUAAUACCGCAUACGUCCUACGGGAGAAAGCGGGGGAUCUUCGGACCUCGCGCCAUUAGAUGAGCCUAGGUCGGAUUAGCUAGUUGGUGAGGUAAUGGCUCACCAAGGCGACGAUCCGUAACUGGUCUGAGAGGAUGAUCAGUCACACUGGAACUGAGACACGGUCCAGACUCCUACGGGAGGCAGCAGUGGGGAAUAUUGGACAAUAGGGCGAAAGGACCUGAUCCAGCCAUGCCGCGUGUGUGAAGAAGGUCUUCGGAUUGUAAAGCACUUUAAGUU
RNAcentral lists this ribosomal RNA (414 nucleotides) under uncultured bacterium. RNAcentral's name for it is "bacterial SSU rRNA". It matches the Rfam family "Bacterial small subunit ribosomal RNA", at positions 30 to 441 of the family's 1533-position model. The record is from RNAcentral.